AUUGAACGCUGGCGGCAGGCCUAACACAUGCAAGUCGAACGAGUGGCGGACGGGUGAGUAAUGUCUGGGAAACUGCCUGAUGGAGGGGGAUAACUACUGGAAAAGGUAGCUAAUACCGCAUACCAUCAGAUGUGCCCAGAUGGGAGUAGCUUGUUGGUGGGGUAACGGCUCACCAAGGCGACGAUCCCUAGCUGGUCUGUGAGGAUGACAGGCCACCCUGGAGCUGAGACACGAUCCAGACUCUGACGGGAGGCAGCGGUGGGGAAUCUUUCACAAAGGGCGAGAUCCUGGUUCGCCCAGGGCGCGUGUAUGAAUAAGGCCUUCUGGUUGUAAAGUACUUUCAGCGGGGAGGCGUUACCCGCAGAAGAAGCACCGGCUAACUCCGUGCCAGCAGCCGCGGUAAUUC
Molecule: ribosomal RNA, 406 nt
Filed under: uncultured bacterium
Lineage: Bacteria
Description: partial 16S ribosomal RNA
Rfam family: Bacterial small subunit ribosomal RNA
Source: RNAcentral